UUGAGAGAAUUAGGUGUUGUCAAGACCGUCUGGACUAAAUAUGUGAUUGAACCCAGUUAAGCCUUCUAUAUAAACUUCUAAGAGUCUGGCAGACGGGUGCAGAGAUCUGCUCAUCUGGAGGCCACCCAAGCCAAGCCUCGGAUAUAUCACCGUCUGAUCACUCAGCUUACAGGCUUGGAAACGUGGUUAUCUUUUUAUUGAGAGCCUUUCCAGAAAAAUGGCUUCCUUAACUUGGAAGAGGCUGAUUAAAGGAAUUGGAUAACCUUGGGAGGGGCAGUCCCUCUGUGGUCAGCAAGGCUCGAGAUGUCAAAGCAUCAGGAUACAAAAAAAUAAAAGGUUCUUUUAAAGCUGUACCGGCCAAGCUGAGUGAGAGAGAAGGUGUAAACAUCACGGUUGAAAUGAAACUCGAAAACCACUGAGAAAAGAAAUGGGGAAGAUAUUUUGAAAGGACACGAUGCAGACUGGCGAUAGACCCUUAUGCGCUGAGUGCAUUUUACCUGGAAAGGAGCCUGGGCUUCCGAGCAAGUUACCUUGGAACUGCAAGAUAACUGCAUUAACAUUGUGUAAAUGCAAUGUAAGUGCAAAUUACAACAGCACUAAGUUAGCAGAAGGAAAAUGUACUCGGGAGCCUAGCCAAAGAAGGGAGCCAACAAAAGAGAAGAAAAAAAGAAAAAAAGG
Non-coding RNA from Delphinapterus leucas (beluga whale), 678 nucleotides. NCBI's taxonomy places the organism in Eukaryota, Metazoa, Chordata, Mammalia, Artiodactyla, Monodontidae. The record is from RefSeq and is a predicted model, not a curated record.